Oncorhynchus keta (chum salmon) is the source of this 2383-nucleotide RNA transcript. It is a transcript of the gene named actin-related protein 2/3 complex subunit 1B-like, with no coding region annotated. The transcript is spliced from 10 exons. The record is from RefSeq and is a predicted model, not a curated record. Lineage: Eukaryota; Metazoa; Chordata; Actinopteri; Salmoniformes; Salmonidae.
UCCCUCUGUUCCUCUUUUUGCGGAAGCAACUUUUUCUACCUCCUUCUCGUCUACAGAAGUGUCUGUUCUCUCUCCGUCACUCUGUCGGUAGCUUUCGCGUCGACUGGCCAGAGUCCGCGAGCUGUUCUCUCCAGUCAUCUCUCCUUCCGUAUCAUCCCUCCAUCUCAGGGAACUACAGAGGCCUCUCAUUGGCUCAUCUCACUUCCUGUUUCUGCAUUGUCCCGAUUUGGUUAUGUCUUACCACAGCUUCUUGCUCGAGCCAAUCAGCUGCCACUCCUGGAACAAGGACCGGACCCAGAUUGCUCUGUGUCCCAACAACCAUGAUGUCCACAUCUAUAAGAAGGACGGGACCAAGUGGACCAAGAUUCAUGAACUGAAGGAGCAUUGACGGACAGGUCACAGGUAUAGACUGGGCUCCAGAGAGUAACCGUAUCGUGACCUGUGGGACGGAUCGUAACGCGUAUGUCUGGUCUCUGAAGGGGGAGGUGUGGAAGCCCACCCUGGUCAUCCUCCGUAUCAACCGGGCUGCUCGCUGUGUCAGCUGGUCUCCCAAGGAGAACAAGUUCGCUGUGGGUAGCGGGUCACGCCUCAUAUCCAUCUGCUACUUUGAACAGGAGAAUGACUGGUGGGUCUGUAAGCACAUCAAGAAGCCGAUCCGUUCCACCGUCCUCAGUCUGGACUGGCAUCCUAACAACGUGCUGCUGGCGGCUGGAUCCUGUGACUUCAAAUGCAGAUCUGUGUGUAUUCUGGUAUCAGUAGAGGGAGGCAAGACCAGCACGAUCAGCAGUCUGAGCUCUGAGACCCUUCCUCUGCUGUGUGUCAGCUUUAUCACUGAGAACAGCCUGGUGGCCGCUGGUCAUGACUGCUACCCAGUGCUGUUUGUGUAUGACGGUACUAAGGGCUCAGUAACGUUCGGAGGGAAGCUGGACGUUCCCAAGCAGACGUCUCAGAGAGGGAUCAGCGCCAGGGAACGCUUCCAGAACCUGGACCGCCGAGCCACCUCGUCUGAGACCACCGAGCAGGGCCUGGAGAGUCUGCACAAGAACAGCAUCAGUCAGAUCUCUGUGCUGGAAGGAGGGAAGAGUAAAUGUUCCACGUUCUGUACAACUGGGAUGGACGGAGGUAUGGUCACCUGGGACGUCAAGAGUCUGGAGUCUGCCCUGAAGGAUCUCAAGAUAGUCUGAUACCAUGACCCUCAGCCGACCAGCCGACCAGCCGGGAUAUGAAGAAAUCUCACCUCUUUUGCCUUUCUGCUUCUCUGCGUCUGUCUGUCUCAGCUGCUGCUGGAGACAUCUCCUUUCUGUCUGUCUCUGUUGAGCAUCUGCUCGAAGCACGGCAGCCAUGACAACGACGUCUGCGUUCCACAUGGCACCCUGUUCUUUUAUAUAGUAGACCAGGACCCAUAGGACACCAUGUGAGACACAUCUUGUUUGUUUUGUUCUAUCUUACAUUUACAUUUACAUUUAAGUCAUUUAGCAGAUCUUCUUAUCAUCUUUGUUUUAGAAUCCAGAAUCCAGGAAAUGCUUUGUGAGCGAUGUUGUUCUGUUCUGUCAGGUGUUCUAUACUGAUAGUUAUUUUAUAUUGGUAGACCAGGACCCAUAGGACACCAUUAGAACAAAAACCAAGAUGUGUCUCAAUCUUCUUAUCUUCUUUGUUUUAGAAUCCAGGAAAUGCUUUGUUCUGUUCUGUCAGGUGUUCUAUACUGAUAGUUGUACCUGGACAUACAGCUGUGUUCUUAAUAUAUACGGCACGAUUCACUUUGGCUACUGGAAUUAGUUUACUUGGAUUUUAAGUUUUGAUGUUCACACAUGAAUUUGUUGGAUUUACAGCACAGGACCAAGAAGAAAAUAAUAUCUAAACUUGAGAUUUUUCACAUCAAAUUUUUAAAAAAUAAAAUCGAAUGGACUAAUAAAAAGAUGACAGUUUUUGAUACUGCAGUAAGUGCAGUCAGUCGACUGUGGUAUUUUGGACGUAGUAAUUUCAGAAUAACUGCAGUUAAACUGCACGCUGACCGCAUAAUUAAUUUUCAUAACGGAAAUGAUUCCGAAUUGUAAUUUAAUUUGGUUGGAGGCAGGUGAUUUAGUUUACUGUGUGAUGUAUUAUAUCUGUGGUAAGUUGCAGGUGCCUACAGGGUUAAAAAAACAAAACAAAAAGCCAUUCAAACCAGUUUUGAAAAGUGGAAACAGGACAUUCUGCUCCGAUGAACUCCGUUAUCAAGUUGUCGAUAUAUUAGAGCGCAACUGUUCGCCAAAGGACUUAUUAUAGUAGGAGUGGAAGGCUACAGCAGGUAUAUAUAAUCAUGAAGAAAAGCCAAGCAGCGGUACCUGUUAAAAUGCUUAUGCUGGUCAUAAUAUUGCAUUUUAAUAAAUGAUUUACUAUCAUA